GACUUGUUAGUAGGUAGUGAGUUAUCUCAAUUGAGUAUUCAGUCAGUUACAGAUUUGACUCCUUGUUUUACAUUUUCCCCUCUUCUCACUACUGCAUUUGGUUAGUGUUUU
Molecule: unclassified non-coding RNA, 111 nt
Organism: Aotus nancymaae (Ma's night monkey)
Lineage: Eukaryota; Metazoa; Chordata; Mammalia; Primates; Aotidae
Rfam family: Y RNA
About the family: Y RNAs are components of the Ro ribonucleoprotein particle (Ro RNP), in association with Ro60 and La proteins. The Y RNAs and Ro60 and La proteins are well conserved, but the function of the Ro RNP is not known.
Source: Ensembl